GCCGGGCUUCCUCCGAUCUACACCUCCACUCUAUCUCUCUAAAUCUAGUAGAAACUAGAAGAUCUAUUUCUACUCACAUUGGAUGCUAAGCCUAAAAGAAAUUUUAUUUAGAGGAGAGGUAUUCCUUCGAGGGCUCCUCUCAACUCUAUAAUGAACUUGUCUCCUCCAGGGGCCAGGGGGUCUAGUUUUAUAGUCCCCUCAAGUGAACGUGAGCCAUUGGAUCAAAACGACAUUGAUUGGACGAUUAUCCUUGAUCCUUUAGGUCGGUGGAGCGUCGUCCGCGAAAAGAGUUCUGAUUGGAAUCCAGGAGGGGACGGGCGCCCUGGUCCUCAGGGCGGGCUCCCUAGGCCAGGCCCCUUUCGGCCUCCGCUUUGUUCCCGUGUGUUCUGGAGUCUUCUAGAUGAUAGAAAAUUGCGCGGUGCGUUGAUAUCUCUAUGUAAUCCCGACAUGUGGGCCUUUCUUCCUUAUUUCCUGAUAACCCCCUGCAGAAACAGAUAAACAACAAAACUCGUGGAAUUCUGUCAGAUCAAACUCUAAUUCUAGGUGUUGUUUGCAUAUUGGUCCUUUCUCUUGUUUAUUUGAUAAUUAAAAUUGAUACUUAAGAACCGUCAACAAAUACCCCCAUACUUAGGCUUUUACUCGUCCUCGAGAAAAGGAUGGUUAAGAACAUUAUCUGGGGUAAAGCAUUUUAAAACAUUCUCUUCAUAUUUGCAGGGUAUUAAAAUCCACUGUGUACUAUAGUCAGGGAAGUAUACGGUUAAGAGUAGAGAUCCUUUCUUCCUUUCAAUCCUGUCACUUGGAGUUUUUGUAGAAUUUUGAAAAGAAAGUUAGCAUACGUUCUCUCAGAUCACUCAUUAUCUUUUAUAUAUCUCACUGAGGCUGUUUUAAUUUGCAAAAAUUCUCAAGCAUACUUACCUUGCAUUUAUUGCCUGGUCAAAAUGGGAUCCGAGGUGAAGAAUGUCAUACUCUUAGAUCAAAGACUUGGGAAAUUUAAAACUUGUCAACUCUUGCUGGCAUAUUGCUUAUUAGAGGGACCAUGGGCUAUCAUUUUCUUUCAUUUUCUGUCUCUUUUUUCUUUUUUUUAAGUGGAUACCGAGGUACCCCUAAUUCUACUGCCGGACACUUGUCUAUUUUUUAUGCGAGGUUAUCGAGCACUUGCUCCUUUUUAUUUCCUCGUAAUAUCCUUAUUUUUGCAUAGCCCAUGCCUCUAAUGCAAUAAUACUUCGGAAGAGUGAAUCUUUUUGAAUAAAUGUCUUGAUCUUAGGAGCAUGAUAAAUCUCUCAACAAGGGUCUAUCUCAUUUUGAACAAACUCAAUACAGAGCAAAUAGCUUUUAUAAUUAUCAUGUUAGUAUUUUCAGGUUUAUCAAGCAUAUAAAACACUGAGGAUGGUAGCUAGAAUUUUGAAGAUUUUGAGAUAAAUUCUCCAAGCAACAAUGAUAUCAAGAAUAAGAAUAUCAUACUCUACCAUCUCACAUUUCACAAUGACUUAAGUAACACAGGAUUUUUAAAAUGAUUUUUCAAUAAUUGCAAGUUUCAGGAAAUAUCACAGAGUGAUAUUAAUCAUGGUUUAAUCUUUUUAAUUUAUCAUGUCGGAAACAAUAUUCUGCAUAAUCCAAGAUAUGUGUAUGUGUAAAGUGUGCAGAGUGUGUACCUGAAUCGUGGAGUGGUGUAGUCGAAGUGUGUUUGGCAUGUCGAGGGAUCUCCCCCAUACUUGUUUUCUACUUUCUUGCACAAAAAUAAAGUAGAGACACACGAGACAUAAUAAUAAUAAUAUUCUUUAUUUAAUCUUGAGGCAUUUAUUACAAAUGUCUAGUAGCAAACUGACGAUAAUAGUAGCAAACUGAUGAUAAUAGUAAACCUAAACCAAAUUUAAAGAUAGAUAACUAAGAUGCAUUGCCUCAAGGUCUAAUCUAGAUAACUUAGCGGCGCUCUAAUUCCUAGAUCUUCUUAUUGGCACUGGCAAGAUCAUGCCUAAGGCCUAGUAUAACAGUGUUGUGGUUAGUGAGCUGCCUAGUGAUGGAGUUAACUGAGGACUGGAGGUCUAUGAUAACGCUGUCUAGCCUGCGAACGUCCUCAUUAAUAUCUACUAUAGUCUUGCGACGCUUAGGAGGUGUCUCAAAAGCAUUGAGAGCGUGCUUCGGGGCUGCUUUUGGAGGGAUGAAACGGACUUUGGCUGCUCUAAUCCCUUCAAAGUAAGGUCUCUCCUCCUCCGUAGUGUAGCGGAUGCUGC
This 2231-nucleotide long non-coding RNA is filed under the name Sorghum bicolor (sorghum). Its description in RNAcentral is "long non-coding RNA (SBIC_LNC009105)". Lineage: Eukaryota; Viridiplantae; Streptophyta; Magnoliopsida; Poales; Poaceae. The record is from RNAcentral.